RNAcentral lists this transfer RNA (77 nucleotides) under Ralstonia pickettii. Its description in RNAcentral is "tRNA-Asp". It matches the Rfam family "tRNA". Rfam says of the family: Transfer RNA (tRNA) molecules are approximately 80 nucleotides in length. Their secondary structure includes four short double-helical elements and three loops (D, anti-codon, and T loops). Further hydrogen bonds mediate the characteristic L-shaped molecular structure. tRNAs have two regions of fundamental functional importance: the anti-codon, which is responsible for specific mRNA codon recognition, and the 3' end, to which the tRNAs corresponding amino acid is attached (by aminoacyl-tRNA synthetases). tRNAs cope with the degeneracy of the genetic code in two manners: having more than one tRNA (with a specific anti-codon) for a particular amino acid; and 'wobble' base-pairing, i.e. permitting non-standard base-pairing at the 3rd anti-codon position. Lineage: Bacteria; Pseudomonadati; Pseudomonadota; Betaproteobacteria; Burkholderiales; Burkholderiaceae. The record is from RNAcentral. RNAcentral also lists the same sequence under 5 other names.
GGGGGUGUAGAACAGUUGGAGUGUUCGCUUGCCUGUCACGCAAGAGGUCGCGGGUUCGAGUCCCGUCACCCUCGCCA